Molecule: long non-coding RNA, 1901 nt
Filed under: Bos taurus (domestic cattle)
Lineage: Eukaryota; Metazoa; Chordata; Mammalia; Artiodactyla; Bovidae
Description: long non-coding RNA NONBTAT019410
Source: RNAcentral
UUUCCAGUGGGUUGCUAUGCCAGAAAUGAGAUUUAAAAUUUAAAUUGUUACUGGGUUACCUUGUUAAUGUUAACACCUAAAAAGUGGUUACCUUCAGCACUAUUGAAUAAUUUUCUACAAUUGUUUUUAUGAUAGAAGUCUUUAAUAUAUAAACUUAUUUCUGUCUUAAAAAUUAAAGGUUGUAAGAGUAUCACAGCACACAGAACACAAAGCUUUUUGCAUAUAUAACAAGGGCUGUAGUGAUGUUUGUAGAUUUAUACCAAGGGAUCUGUUUAUAUAAGGGAAAGCCAAAAGAGGGGGGGGGGCGGUAUUAGGUAUUUUUACCUAAUAAAAUAUAGGUAAUGAACUGGCCUAUGAGACUUCAAUUACAAAUGAGUGGCCAUACUUUUGUUUUUAGUCCUGAAUAUGCUGCUUUUACAGUUUCAGUGAAUGAAAAAACCUAAAUUGCUAUGCCUGCUCCAGGCAUCUGUCCAGAAAUUUAGAAAGUAUUUGAGAUGUGGUGAAAGACUUUCUGUAGGUAAAUAAAUGGAGAAGGUGGAUGUUGAACAGAAGGGUGGCUAUGUAUUUCAGUUUGUUUUCAUCUGAAAAAAAAAAUGGGCCUGGUAGCAUCAGUAGUACCAUUUUUGAAAAAUAAGCCUGAAGGAAAACUUCAAGGAAGUUGGGUGAUAAUCUUAAUGACAUAAAUGAAAAUUGGUGGAAAAUGGGUUUGUUUUUACUAAUAAUCAAGGGUCAAGUGGACAGAGAAACCAAACUGUCCAUCCUACUUUGGUCAUAAGUUCUUCAUGUCUAUCAAAAUUUUAAAAACAGGCUUCUAAUAAGUUUUAAAUGAUUUGGAAAGUUUUGAUUUAUAUCCAAUUUUUUUAGAAGCCAGUCAGAUUUCUGAUAAAUGAUAUAGUCACUGAAGGGAAUAUAAGUAUGCAUAACUAUGUAAAAUACGCAAAAACUAUGAAAAAGGUAGGAUAAACAAUAAAGACCAUGAUACUAAUUUACAACCACUAGGAACUUAAAAGCCAAAGGGGAAAUUUUUAAUUUCAUAUUCCCCCCCUCCCUUUUUUUUUUAGUAUGCUUGUUUUAUUUCAGAUUGUAUCUUUCUGGUUAAAGUCAGAGUAAGCAAAGAUAGUGGUCAAACAAUCAGGAAAUGUUAGUAAUUUUACUAAUUGUGUUUUACUUCUCUGAACCUCAGCAUGUGUCCUAUAAUAGGUGAGUUUAGAUAGGUGUGUUCAGAUAUUCCAGCCUGUGAUGCUUUGCUUUAACUAUAUCUUAGUAUCGUAGCCCGGCUUAGGGAAAGCUUAUUUUGAGAUCAUUGGGAAUCUUCAGGUUAUAAAUUAGUGAAUACUUAAGACAUAGGUAUGGGGGGGUUACAGUUAAUGUUAGAGUUAUGCUUGAAUUAAGUAUUUAUAUUAAAACUGCUCACAUUUUAGGAACUAGGAUGAAACUUGAAAGGGGAGGAGGGUGAACAGUAUGGUAAAAAACAUUUAGAGAAAUUCAGUAAAUUCUCUUUAAUUGUUAGAAACUAGAGUUUUGAACGAAUGGGGGAAAAAAUUGAACAGAAGAUUGGUCAGAUAGAAGCACUUGAAUAUUUUUUUUAAGGCUAUUUUGAAUUGUUUUGGGGAAGAAUACACGAAGUAUGAAAAAUGAAAAACUCAAUGAAGAAUGAAGAGAAGUAGAAAGCAAGAGUGAAGUAGAAUUAAAAGAAUCUGGAAGAAUGAAUGGGUCCUAGGUUAAGUAAAUGUAUGGUUUAUGUUCCAGUGUCUGUAUGAUCAAGUUGUAGAUGAAUUUGCAUGAUUACUUAGUUAAUAGAGAAUUGGUGAUCUGGUUCAAGUAGGGAAUUAUUGAGGACAGUUAGCAGUAUUAACAAUGGGUUAUUAAUGAGCUGAAAUUUUUUCUGGAGGGUGUUGCCU